RNAcentral lists this ribosomal RNA (483 nucleotides) under uncultured bacterium. RNAcentral describes it as "partial 16S ribosomal RNA". It matches the Rfam family "Bacterial small subunit ribosomal RNA", at positions 28 to 507 of the family's 1533-position model. The record is from RNAcentral.
GACGAACGCUGGCGGCGUGCUUAACACAUGCAAGUCGAACGCUGAAGCUCAGCUUUUGUUGGGUGGAUGAGUGGCGAACGGGUGAGUAACACGUGAGUAACCUGCCUCCUUCUUUGGGAUAACGCCCGGAAACGGGUGCUAAUACUGGAUAUUCACUGGUCUUCGCAUGGGGGUUGGUGGAAAGGGUUUUUCUGGUGGGGGAUGGGCUCGCGGCCUAUCAGCUUGUUGGUGGGGUGAUGGCCUACCAAGGCUUUGACGGGUAGCCGGCCUGAGAGGGUGACCGGGCACAUUGGGACGGAGAUACGGCCCAGACUACUACGGGAGGCAGCAGUGGGGAAUAUUGCACAAUGGGCGCAAGCCUGAUGCAGCGACGCCGCGUGAGGGAUGGAGGCCUUCGGGUUGUGAACCUCUUUCGCUCAUGGUCAAGCCGCAACAAUGGUUGUGGUGAGGGUAGUGGGUAAAGAAGCGCCGGCUAACUACGUG